UAUUUCCUUAGAAAUGCAACCAUUUCCCAUCACAAACCCUAGCAAAUAAAUUCCGAGCCCUCAUCCACACAAGUACACCCUACAAGGCUACCUGACAGACUAUCCUCCUCAGGACUAGCCUCCCCAUGCCACUAUAAUCUAGUGGGCACUGGCUCCUCAUCCACACAGGUACACCCUACAAGGCUACCUGACAGGCUAUCCCCCUCAGGACUAGCCUCCCCAUGCCACUAUAAUCUAGUGGGCACUGGCUCCUCAUCCACAUAGGUACACCCUACAAGGCUACCUGACAGACUAUCCUCCUCAGGACUAGCCUCCCCAUGCCACUAUAAUCUAGUGGGCACUGGCUCC
RNAcentral lists this long non-coding RNA (348 nucleotides) under Pomacea canaliculata. RNAcentral's name for it is "uncharacterized LOC112574341". Lineage: Eukaryota; Metazoa; Mollusca; Gastropoda; Architaenioglossa; Ampullariidae. The record is from RNAcentral.